GUGAGCGUAGCUCAAUCGGAUAGAGCACUGGACUGUGGCUCCAGGCGCUGGGGGUUCGAGUCCCCUCGCUCACCCCA
RNAcentral lists this transfer RNA (77 nucleotides) under bacterium. Its description in RNAcentral is "tRNA-His". It matches the Rfam family "tRNA". From Rfam's summary of the family: Transfer RNA (tRNA) molecules are approximately 80 nucleotides in length. Their secondary structure includes four short double-helical elements and three loops (D, anti-codon, and T loops). The record is from RNAcentral.